AGGUAACAUCUCUCGCUCAGACGAGUAGAAGCUGAUGAUUCUCCCACUCAUACAAGACGUGUCAUGAAACUCAGAGGUGAUCAGAGAGGCAAAGGACACCAGGACACAUGGGUGCUACUGAGCAGCGACUGAAACCCAAGACCUGCCGCAGCAUGACACCAGUCCCGGCCGUAGACCGUGAAAUGGGAUGGCCGAGUAUUUGCAUGAGGAAGCACUGCCCGGAGCCCAGGACACAAAUCUGCUCAGACAGUUAGGGCACUGGACAGUUCUUCCCCUGGUCACGGCAGUAAGGUAUUAAACAGCCUCAGCCCUGCUCAGAGAUGGCAGACACACAGCCAUGUGCUCGGUCCUGAGCUCACAGCAGGACUGAUAGCCUCUGGCAGCAGGGCAGCUUCUGGCAGUGGCCUGGUUCAACCAGGUUUACCUGGAGGCUGGCAGGACACAGCGAGCAGCUUGCCCCAGCCUACGCCCCUGAGUGUAACCAGGCACCUGCAGACACUUAAUGAAGGGCGAGUGAAGCACAAAGCCUCACAGGGACCCUCGUCUCAAAUGUUGUGGUUAUCCCUGAAGCAUGCAUUAACUGUUUUGCUGCUGAGCCCUUCCACAAAGUCAAAACUGCUUUCUAAUGCAGUUUGUUGAGGCCUAUACGUCAGCCAGAGGCCGAUUUGGACUAAUCCAGGAAGGGAGCCAAGUAUUAAAAAAAAACCAACCUCUGAGGUUGUGGAAUAUCUAAAACAUAUUGAUCAUGGUGUAAUUACUCUUGAAAUGUAUUAGGGGAAGUAGCUAAAACAGUCUCCACUCUGAGAAAGAUGAUGUGGGAGCAUGCAAGAGGGCCUCGGGGAGACUGACUGGAAUUCUUAUGAGGGAUGGUGAACCUGUUUCAGAAAAUGUAAAGAAAAGUUACCCAAGUGAGCAUUAAAUGACAGAUGUGGUAAUGACUAUCUCAAACUUCCAUUUUCUAAAGAUUUAGCUACUAUUUACAUGAAUAUCAGAAGUCAGUGAAGCAAACGCAGCAAGAAGCAGCAUACAUGUGAC
This is a long non-coding RNA of Cygnus atratus (black swan), 1035 nucleotides long. RefSeq lists it as uncharacterized. The transcript has 3 exons. The record is from RefSeq and is a predicted model, not a curated record. NCBI's taxonomy places the organism in Eukaryota, Metazoa, Chordata, Aves, Anseriformes, Anatidae.